RNAcentral lists this long non-coding RNA (575 nucleotides) under Helianthus annuus (common sunflower). Its description in RNAcentral is "hypothetical non coding rna". Lineage: Eukaryota; Viridiplantae; Streptophyta; Magnoliopsida; Asterales; Asteraceae. The record is from RNAcentral.
GACAAGUCUCAACAUCUUCAUUCCUCUUCUCCAAUCCUCCUCUUUCAAAACACACUGAACCCUAGCUCCUAUCUCCUCUUCCAUCGCACCUCACCUCCUCUGCCACCCCUUCCACCUUCGCCGCCUUGAACCUCCGCCACCCCCUCCUCCUCCAGCCGACACCUACUUCCGUCGCCCUCCUCCUCCUACAGCCGAAACCCACCUCCGUCGCCCUCCUUCUCCUCCAGCCGACACCCACCCCCGCCGCCCCUCCACUCCAGCCGACACCUCCUCCAACGUCUUCUCCACCACUCAAAGGUUAUAUGCUUUGAAGAAAGGUAUGUAUUCUUUUGUACAUUGAGUUCUAUGAUGCAAUGGCUGUUCCCAUGGCGAGUGCUCUAUCUGGUUAAGCCUUCAGAGGCUGAGAAGAACCUUGUCCAAUCAACUGAGCGGUUAAUUCAAAGCAUGGAUUCACUGAUUUAAAAAAAAUGUUAUUGUCGUUUUAUGAAUAUUAUUUCAGUAUUGUAUAACUAUUAUUUAUGUUUGAAUGUUAAAAAACUCUUUUAAGUUAAAUAAAAUCAGUUUAUUUAUAUUUC